This 177-nucleotide unclassified non-coding RNA is filed under the name uncultured Ascomycota. RNAcentral's name for it is "sequence contains ITS2". The record is from RNAcentral. Lineage: Eukaryota; Fungi; Ascomycota.
CCCCACUCAAGCAAAAAAUUUUCUUGCUUGGUCAUGGGCCCUCGUCCUCUCCCCUCGGGUUGGGGGACGUGCCUGAAAGUUAGCGGCGGUGCAGCUGGUCCUCGAGCGCAUUAGCAAUACAUUCGCUACGAGGGACUUCCAGGUCUGCUCCAGCCGGAAAACGACCCUUUUUCCAAC